Molecule: long non-coding RNA, 957 nt
Filed under: Marmota monax (woodchuck)
Lineage: Eukaryota; Metazoa; Chordata; Mammalia; Rodentia; Sciuridae
Source: RNAcentral
CUCAUUGUCCUCGCUGAGUGGACGAGCAGGCCGUGAGGGAGUCUCCCCUGCGCUUCCUCAGGCCCCUCCAGCCCGGGAUGAGAGUCGGCCAGUGACAGGCGGCCACCUCACCACCUGGCCCUCAGGGCCAGGCUGGGCAGGGCUGGGGCCGGCUCUUCCUCAUGGCGGGAGGAUGACGGGGCAGGGAGCCCCAUCUCCAGGAGCUGGCAGGGAAACCAGAGGACUCCUGGGAGCCCGCCAUGGUCCUGGGGCAGCCCUGCCCUGCCCAUGUGGCCUGGGCGCAGCCAGCUGUCAGCAAGAAGAGGACCUGAGGCCACGUGCUGGCCGGCAGAGCAGGGCUGUGGCGGAGGUACCGAGGGGCCUCCCCAGCUCCGUUCCUGGGCAUGGAGAGCAAGCUCCCACCUCCAGCACCUCCGCCAUGGGGCCUGCAGCACAGAGGGGCUCCAGAGGGCUGUGUCCGCCCUCGGUGCUGCCCGUGGCCUCUCCUGCCUCGGGCUCCGCCCUGACAGGCAGCUGGAGGCCCGCAGGCUGGAGGGGAGCAGAUGGGCCCAGCAGUCAGCCCCGUGAUGGGAGAGACCAGCGGGACCAGCAAAACGGAUGGUGGGCACACAAGCAAGUCCAGCCCUGGCCAGAGACCCGCCAGACGGGGCCCAGCCUCCCCUGCCCAGCCGCAGAGCCGGCGUCACACUAGCCUGCGUUUGUUACACAGCAGUUGAUGCCAGCUACACACCAGGUGACAAAGGGCUGAGCUCAGUGGCCAUCUCCCCUCUCUGUCCUGUCCCCACUGGGACGCGUCAGUGCCGACACCCCAGGCCCUCCUGACCUCCCCAGCCUGCAGGGCGGAGGCAGCGGGUCUGGCGCCCAAGCCCCCCAGGCAGGUGGGAUCCCGCCCUCGUUCCCUCAGUCCUUGAGAUUUGUGCCAGGGAGACCCAGAGGACAGCCAGGCUCUGCCUUCAG